UACGAAGGGGGCUAGCGUUGCUCGGAAUCACUGGGCGUAAAGGGUGCGUAGGCGGGUCUUUAAGUCAGGGGUGAAAUCCUGGAGCUCAACUCCAGAACUGCCUUUGAUACUGAAGAUCUUGAGUUCGGGAGAGGUGAGUGGAACUGCGAGUGUAGAGGUGAAAUUCGUAGAUAUUCGCAAGAACACCAGUGGCGAAGGCGACACACUGGCCCGUUACUGACGCUGAGGCGCGAAAGCGUGGGGAGCAAACAGG
This 253-nucleotide ribosomal RNA is filed under the name uncultured bacterium. Its description in RNAcentral is "partial 16S ribosomal RNA". It matches the Rfam family "Bacterial small subunit ribosomal RNA", at positions 524 to 776 of the family's 1533-position model. The record is from RNAcentral.